AGUGAACGCUGGCGGUAGGCCUAACACAUGCAAGUCGAACGGCAGCACAGUAAGAGCUUGCUCUUACGGGUGGCGAGUGGCGGACGGGAGAGGAAUAUAUCGGAAUCUACUUUUUCGUGGGGGAUAACGUAGGGAAACUUAAGCUAAUACCGCAUACGACCUACGGGUGAAAGCAGGGGAUCUUCGGACCUUGCGCGAUUGAAUGAGCCGAUGUCGGAUUAGCUAGUUGGCGGGGUAAAGGCCCACCAAGGCGACGAUCCGUAGCUGGUCUGAGAGGAUGAUCGGCCACACUGGAACGGGGACACGGUCCAGACGCCUGCGGGAGGCAGCAGUGGGGAAUAUUGGACAAUGGGCGCAAACCUUGUCCAGCCAUACCGCGUGGGUGAAGAAGACCUUCGGGUUGUAAAGCCCUUUUGUUGGGAAAGAAAAGCAGCAGGUUAAUACCACGCUGUUCUGACGGUACCCAAAGAAUAAGCACCGGCUAACUUCGUG
This 492-nucleotide ribosomal RNA is filed under the name uncultured bacterium. RNAcentral's name for it is "partial 16S ribosomal RNA". It matches the Rfam family "Bacterial small subunit ribosomal RNA", at positions 29 to 507 of the family's 1533-position model. The record is from RNAcentral.